UACGAGGGGGGCUAGCGUUGUUCGGAAUCACUGGGCGUAAAGCGCACGUAGGCGGAUUGUUAAGUCAGGGGUGAAAUGCCAAGGCUCAACCUUGGAACUGCCUUUGAUACUGGCAAUCUCGAGUCCGGGAGAGGUGAGUGGAACUGCGAGUGUAGAGGUGAAAUUCGUAGAUAUUCGCAAGAACACCAGUGGCGAAGGCGGCUCACUGGCCCGGUACUGACGCUGAGGUGCGAAAGCGUGGGGAGCAAACAGG
Molecule: ribosomal RNA, 253 nt
Filed under: uncultured bacterium
Lineage: Bacteria
Description: partial 16S ribosomal RNA
Rfam family: Bacterial small subunit ribosomal RNA
Source: RNAcentral